UACGUAGGGUGCAAGCGUUGUCCGGAAUUAUUGGGCGUAAAGAGCUCGUAGGCGGUCUGUCGCGUCGGCUGUGAAAACCCGAGGCUCAACCUCGGGCCUGCAGUCGAUACGGGCAAACUAGAGUACUGCAGGGGAGACUGGAAUUCCUGGUGUAGCGGUGAAAUGCGCAGAUAUCAGGAGGAACACCGGUGGCGAAGGCGGGUCUCUGGGCAGUAACUGACGCUGAGGAGCGAAAGCGUGGGGAGCGAACAGGAUUAGAUACCCGGGUAGU
Molecule: ribosomal RNA, 271 nt
Filed under: uncultured bacterium
Lineage: Bacteria
Description: partial 16S ribosomal RNA
Rfam family: Bacterial small subunit ribosomal RNA
Source: RNAcentral